CAGGGCUAUUCGGGAUUAAGUAGGGCAACAUGGAGAAAGGCCAUUAUAAACACUAAAAGUUAAGAAUUUCAAUAUUUAGGUCUUUCUAUUCUUGAAUAGUCUUGGCUGUUAAAAUACUCACAGA
Molecule: long non-coding RNA, 124 nt
Organism: Sapajus apella (tufted capuchin)
Lineage: Eukaryota; Metazoa; Chordata; Mammalia; Primates; Cebidae
Exons: 2
Source: RefSeq, a predicted model, not a curated record